GCAGUGGGGAAUAUUGCACAAUGGGCGCAAGCCUGAUGCAGCGACGCCGCGUGGGGGAUGACGGCCUUCGGGUUGUAAACCUCUUUCACCAUCGACGAAGCCCUUUGGGGUGACGGUAGGUGGAGAAGAAGCACCGGCCAACUACGUGCCAGCAGCCGCGGUAAUACGUAGGGUGCGAGCGUUGUCCGGAAUUACUGGGCGUAAAGGGCUUGUAGGUGGUUUGUCGCGUUGUUCGUGAAAUGCCACAGCUUAACUGUGGGCGUGCGGGCGAUACGGGCAGACUGGAGUACUGCAGGGGAGACUGGAAUUCCUGGUGUAGCGGUGGAAUGCGCAGAUAUCAGGAGGAACACCGGUGGCGAAGGCGGGUCUCUGGGCAGUAACUGACGCUGAGGAGCGAAAGCGUGGGGAGCGAACAGGAUUAGAUACCCUAGUAGUCCAC
RNAcentral lists this ribosomal RNA (439 nucleotides) under Klebsiella pneumoniae. RNAcentral's name for it is "bacterial SSU rRNA". It matches the Rfam family "Bacterial small subunit ribosomal RNA", at positions 351 to 798 of the family's 1533-position model. The record is from RNAcentral. Lineage: Bacteria; Pseudomonadati; Pseudomonadota; Gammaproteobacteria; Enterobacterales; Enterobacteriaceae.